Molecule: long non-coding RNA, 2556 nt
Filed under: Mus musculus (house mouse)
Lineage: Eukaryota; Metazoa; Chordata; Mammalia; Rodentia; Muridae
Description: long non-coding RNA chr9:8950261-8952817
Source: RNAcentral
AUGAAAGGUUUUAGUAGUUAGUGAGAAAAAUGCAUCUGCAUAGAUGAGCACUUGUAUACUUUUUCCUUUGUAAGUGUUGGCCUUCUUAGGAUUUCACUAAUUUACUCUGAAACAAAUGGCAAUAGAUGUACUUGGGGAUUAGUAGUGGAAAGUAAUGGCACAGAUGAAAGUCAUAAGCUUGUCAAAUAGGGUCUUGAAAGUCGAAGGAAGACAAAAAUUAAUAAGUACUAAUUCAAAAAGCAAGGUCACCUUCUCUACCAGUGAGUUGUACAAGAAUUAAAGCAAUAGAGAAGUGUAGAGCAAACAUUUUCUUGUGAUGAAUUUGUCUUGCUGUUUCCCUUUACUUGUUGAAAUAUUCAUCCCAGGCCAUGCUGUGAAAUUCCAACUAUUGCCCAUUGGAGUGCAUUCCUUCCUGCUUUAAACUACCCAGACUGCGUGCCAUGAUGAGGAGCUGAAGAUAGGGACAAACUUUCCUUCAUUUUCUAGCUCUGCAGUGUGAGUCAGUGACAGUGUGAAAAGGGACUUUUUCUUUCUUCCCAAAUGCAAUGAAUAAGGCAAAUUAUCACCUUCAAAGCAUGAGGAGAAGAGUGAAGGUGGCCUUCCAUCUUAGACCUGACCAGAGCUUCUAUAACAACAGUCAAAAUUCCUUAACUGUAUUCCACUGAAACUACCAUCACCAAUGUUAAUGUCUUCAAAUUGUCAAGUUGCAUAUGUGUUCUCUUUCAUGCAACUUCACUGCCUUGGGGGGUACUGGUAGAGUAACCACUUCCUAAUGAAACUCAUCCUUUGGUGUCCAUCCAUUCCUUCCAGGUACAUGGUUUCUCCCACAAAGUUUUAGUCACUAUACAUUUGUGCUUCUUCCUACACUAUACAUUUUACUGUCCUGAGUUCUGUUCUCUCUUCCACUGGCUUCUUAUGUUGCAUAUUUGGGAUGAACAGAUGUAUAUCCUUGAUGUUCUUACUCCACUCCAAUGACAUGUAAGUAAUGGCAUCAGUCCAGCUCCUUCAGUCAUGUAUUCCAAAUGCUCUUAACACAGCUCCACCCAGAUCACCUCUCAAGUCAGCAUGACCUUACUGCUCAUAUGCCAAAACCAUUUUUCUGUAUCCUGAAAUAAGUCCUCAGCCAGCCCCUUCAGAACCAUCUUUAGCUCUCUCCUCCUUUGUAUCCUGCCUGGGUGGUUGUCAGUUCUUUCAACACCUCAUAUUCAAUACAAGGUUGGCUUACUACAAUGCUACUUACUUCUAUGGCUGCUGAUCCAGCUUAGUUUGGUCACCACCCUUUCUUGGUUUACCUAGGUUUCAGCUCUCAAACAAUUUAACCCAAGAUUCUAACCCAAGAAUCAUUUUUCUAAAAAUAAUUGUAACCAACUAUGUUUUUCUUUUUCCAUUUCUGAAUAAACCCUAAACUCUGUGGCCUUACAAUUCAAGGCAGUUCUGCAUUCCGGUUCCGAAAUUAACAGCACUCCUCUUUCCCUCCCUUCAAUUCAUGGAAUUUAAGCAGCACUUGCUGAAAGGCUCUUUGCUCCAUUUCCCAUCUUUUUCUUCUCAUUUUGGUGUUGUUUUCUGUAUGUAGAGGAUCUUCACACACAUAGUCUCCUGUCUGACUUUCUAACAACUCUCCAUCAUUCAUACUAAUCUAAUCUGCCCUGCAUCUUCCCAGACUGAAUCCCAAUACUUGGGAAGAGAUAAAGGCAAGGAAGAGUCUUAGGUUCAAGACCAGCUUCUGACAGAAGUAAGACCCUAUCCCAGGAAAGACAAAUAAAAAGGCGUAGAAAUCUCAAGUGUGGAAUGUAUAACUAAGAGCUAUGUUAUCUUAGAUGAACUCUGUCAUUCUUGAUCAGAUUAAGCCACUGAAGGUAUUGGUGGUGUAUUGCCUAUGUCUCCCUUUGAUCUGGAAAUAUACACACAUAUUGACAUUAAUGUCUUGUAAUACAAGGUCCUGAGAUAUGUAAUUCUCCAUCUUGGUUGAGGCUCAUCAUUUCAACUGUAUGACACUUUGACACUUUUUUUCAAAAACAGAGAUAGAACUUAUGCAUUUUUAUCAGAACCUUGGAAGCACAGCAAGUCUCAUGAGUCAUCUUUUGUCCUCUCCUUUAUCCUUUUUUUUAAGUAGUGAGAAUUGGAAAAUCCACAGCAAUAUUUUUCAAGGAUUAUUAAGCCAAGACACUUACAGAAAAGUACAUUUUUUACACUACUUGUUAAACACAAUUAGCGGUCAUCCAUCACUUCCCAUAGGUUGUUCAGUUUGCUUAUGAUCUCAAGUGCAUGAAAUCUCUCUAAUCAUUAUCAUCACAGGAAUCUGAUCUCUAUUUUCCUAGCUUUGUUUCAGUAUAAAAUAAUGGAAUGGUGUCACAGUCAAUGGGGAGAAACUGCUUGUGAGCUAGCCAUGUACAAGUUAUUUAACAUUGGACUUUUUCCACAGCUACACCUCCAAAAGGUGGAGUAAGGAGGUUAUUUUCUGAGUUCUAUUCUGUUAGAUGGAAAUAUAUGUUCUGCUAUGAAUGUUAGUAACUGAGUAAACUUUGAAAUAUUUCAAUAAAAGUUACCUUUUAUACU